RNAcentral lists this microRNA precursor (62 nucleotides) under Taeniopygia guttata (zebra finch). RNAcentral's name for it is "Tgu-Mir-27-P3_pre stem-loop". It matches the Rfam family "mir-27 microRNA precursor family", at positions 10 to 80 of the family's 80-position model. The record is from RNAcentral. Lineage: Eukaryota; Metazoa; Chordata; Aves; Passeriformes; Estrildidae.
AGGGCUUAGCCCACCUGUGAACAGAGUCCAGCCGCGCCGUGUUCACAGUGGCUAAGUUCCGC